CCAACGUGGCUAUACGUUUGAAAAAGAGGUCAUUCUUCCAGGAUCUGUCCUAGUGGCAGAGAGGAGCACAGGGCUCAGGGCACCUCCCUACCAGGAGCCAUCCUUGCCCACAGUGUUGGUGAGGAAGUCCGGCCUGGAGUCUUUGACUGUAUGUAUCUAAGACUUCUUACAGUUCUGUGGACAAGUGACUAAGGACAUGACCCUUGCAGAAAACCAUC
Molecule: small nucleolar RNA, 218 nt
Filed under: Mus pahari (shrew mouse)
Lineage: Eukaryota; Metazoa; Chordata; Mammalia; Rodentia; Muridae
Description: predicted gene, 25139 (MGP_PahariEiJ_G0034460.1)
Source: RNAcentral